This 238-nucleotide ribosomal RNA is filed under the name uncultured bacterium. Its description in RNAcentral is "partial 16S ribosomal RNA". It matches the Rfam family "Bacterial small subunit ribosomal RNA", at positions 116 to 354 of the family's 1533-position model. The record is from RNAcentral.
CGUAGAGAACCUACCUUACACAGGGGGACAACAGCUGGAAACGGCUGCUAAUACCGCAUGACACAUAUUUAUCGCAUGGUAGAUGUGUCAAAGAUUUAUCGCUGAGAGAUGGCCUCGCGUCUGAUUAGCUAGUUGGUAGGGUAACGGCCUACCAAGGCGACGAUCAGUAGCCGGACUGAGAGGUUGGCCGGCCACAUUGGGACUGAGAUACGGCCCAGACUCCUACGGGAGGCAGCAG